RNAcentral lists this ribosomal RNA (440 nucleotides) under uncultured bacterium. RNAcentral's name for it is "partial 16S ribosomal RNA". It matches the Rfam family "Bacterial small subunit ribosomal RNA", at positions 338 to 795 of the family's 1533-position model. The record is from RNAcentral.
CCUACGGGAGGCAGCAGUGGGGAAUAUUGCACAAUGGAGGGAACUCUGAUGCAGCGACGCCGCGUGAGUGAAGAAGUAUUUCGGUAUGUAAAGUUCUAUCAGCAGGGAAGAAAGUGACGGUACCUGCAAAAGAAGCUCCGGCGAAAUACGGGCCAGCAGCCGCGGUAAUACGUAGGGAGCAAGAGUUAUCCGGCUUUACUGGGUGUAAAGGGAGCGCAGGCGGCGCGUUAAGCCUGGUGUGAAAGCCCUCGUCCAAACCGCGGGACUGCAUUGGGAACUGGCGAGCUGGAGUGCAGGAGGGGUAAGCGGAAUUCCUAGUGUAGCGGUGAAAUGCGUAGAUAUUAGGAAGAACACCAGUGGCGAAGGCGGCCUACUGGACGGUGACUGACGCUGAGGCUCGAAAGCGUGGGGAGCAAACAGGAUUAGAUACCCUUGUAGUC